This 77-nucleotide transfer RNA is filed under the name Candidatus Parcubacteria bacterium. RNAcentral describes it as "tRNA-Val". It matches the Rfam family "tRNA". From Rfam's summary of the family: Transfer RNA (tRNA) molecules are approximately 80 nucleotides in length. Their secondary structure includes four short double-helical elements and three loops (D, anti-codon, and T loops). Further hydrogen bonds mediate the characteristic L-shaped molecular structure. tRNAs have two regions of fundamental functional importance: the anti-codon, which is responsible for specific mRNA codon recognition, and the 3' end, to which the tRNAs corresponding amino acid is attached (by aminoacyl-tRNA synthetases). tRNAs cope with the degeneracy of the genetic code in two manners: having more than one tRNA (with a specific anti-codon) for a particular amino acid; and 'wobble' base-pairing, i.e. permitting non-standard base-pairing at the 3rd anti-codon position. The record is from RNAcentral. Lineage: Bacteria; Candidatus Parcubacteria.
GGACGUUUAGCUCAGCUGGUUAGAGCGCUACACCCACACUGUAGAGGUCGGAGGUUCGAAUCCUCCAACGUCCACCA